GGAGAGGUGCCCGAGCCUGGUUGAAGGGGCGCGACUCGAAAUCGCGUAGGGGUGGCAAAAACCAUCCCUCGGGGGUUCAAAUCCCCCCCUCUCCG
Molecule: transfer RNA, 95 nt
Filed under: Armatimonadota bacterium
Lineage: Bacteria; Bacillati; Armatimonadota
Also listed under: 2 other names
Description: Armatimonadetes bacterium (hot springs metagenome) tRNA-Ser
Rfam family: tRNA
About the family: Transfer RNA (tRNA) molecules are approximately 80 nucleotides in length. Their secondary structure includes four short double-helical elements and three loops (D, anti-codon, and T loops).
Source: RNAcentral